AUUGAACGCUGGCGGCAGGCCUAACACAUGCAAGUCGAACGAGUGGCGGACGGGUGAGUAAUGUCUGGGAAACUGCCUGAGUGAGGGGGAUAACUACUGGAAACGGUAGCUAAUACCGCAUACCAUCGGAUGUGCCCAGAUGGGAUUAGCUAGUAGGUGGGGUAAAGGCUCACCUGGGCGACGAUCCCUAGCUGGUCUGUGAGGAUGACCAGCCACACGGGAACUGAGAAACGGUCCAGAAUCCUACGGGAGGCAGAAGUGGGGAAUAUUGCACAAUGGGCGCAAGCCUGAUGCAGCAAUGCCGCGUGUAUGAAGAAGGCCUUCGGGUUGUAAAGUACUUUCAGCGGGGAGGCGUUACCCGAAGAAGAAGCACCGGCUAACUCCGUGCCAGCAGCCGCGGUAAUUC
RNAcentral lists this ribosomal RNA (406 nucleotides) under uncultured bacterium. RNAcentral describes it as "partial 16S ribosomal RNA". It matches the Rfam family "Bacterial small subunit ribosomal RNA", at positions 30 to 526 of the family's 1533-position model. The record is from RNAcentral.